Molecule: ribosomal RNA, 465 nt
Filed under: uncultured bacterium
Lineage: Bacteria
Description: partial 16S ribosomal RNA
Rfam family: Bacterial small subunit ribosomal RNA
Source: RNAcentral
CCUACGGGUGGCUGCAGUGGGGAAUGUUGCGCAAUGAUCGUAAGAGUGACGCAGCGACGCCGCGUGAAUGACGAAGGCCUUCGGGUUGUAAAGUUCUUUCGACAGGGAAGAAAAUGCCUAUAAGUAACUGUGUAUGUAUUGACGGUACCUGUAUAAGUAGCCCCGGCGAACUCCGUGCCAGCAGCCGCGGUAAUACGGAGUGGGCGAGCGUUGUUCGGAGUGACUGGGCGUAAAGAGCACGUAGGCGGUGUUGUAAGUCAUUAGUCAAAGACUCGAGCUCAACUUUAGUAAGGCUAGUGAUACUGUAAUACUAGAGUAUCAGAGAGGAAUGCAGAAUUCCUGGUGUAGCGGUGAAAUGCGUAGAUAUCAGGAGGAAUACCGUUCGCGAAGGCAGCAAUCUGGCUGGAAACUGACGCUGAGGUGCGAAAGCGUGGGUAGCAAACAGGAUUAGAUACCCUUGUAGUC